ACCAUGUCCCUCUGCUUCAGGACGUUCUCUUGCCAUUCUUUGGAGGAUGCUCUGUUCCUUUGUGGAGCAGUCAGGAAGAGCUGGAGAAUUCACGUCCCGGGAGCAAUCUUCACCCAACGACAGAUGAAAGGAAGCUGGUGGAUAAAUACCUAGAUUCUUCCUCCCUCAGGGAGGAGAGGGGAUUUGGAGGUGUGCGUUACGCAGUCCAUCAGAGGUUCCUCAGAGGGAUUGAGCCCCAGCAGUAAAAUCCCCAAGAAUACAACUAUCAUGAGCUUCUCUCCCUUCUCUGUUACCUCCACCUCCCUCCCUCAUAGCUUCCUGGGAUCUCUUCCCAAAGAAAAUACCCUUGCAUCCAAUCCCUGGCUUUAGGAACACCUUUGCUUAGAGUAAAGAAAAUAGGACUCAAGAAAUUUAUUGGCUAUGGCAGAGUAGGAUAAAAGGAAACAUUGGUGAUGGCACCAGUUGUCUGACCCUUAGAGCAAGACAAAUGUUGAAGGCAUUGUCUAACUAGAGAUCAUCAGAGAAGGACUGGGUUUUUGGAGGGAGUCCAUGAGAUCCAUGUUUUAACAUUUUGUGCUUGAUUUCCUAUAGAGACACCCAAUUGCAACAUCGAGGAGGCAAUUUUUUGCACAAAUAUAGGUUAGAGCUAUAUGAAUUCGAAAAUCAUUAGUAUAUGUAUGGUGGUAGGAUUGUGGAUGAAAUUGCCCAGGCAGAGGGCAUAUAUUAACAUGAGGAUCUAGAAGGGAGCCAGAAGAAACCUCACAUUUAACGGCCAGUUAGAAGAGAAUGCACUUGCAGAGAAGACAGAAAAGGAGCAGGGGGAGGCUAACUAGGAGAAGGGUUAAUGACACUGACCUCCAACACCUGCAGUUCUGUUCAUUUAAUCUACAUCACUUGACCAGUAAAGAGUGUGACUAAUAACACUGUGCAUAUAUGGCUUAUUACCUUAUUGGUCCAUCACUGCUAUUUGGGGCUCAUAAAUGUUUUAUUACUAAUAUCUGCUAAAUAUUAAGGAAUUUUAUUGGGUCAGUGAUGAGAUCUGAGAAACUGUUCUAUUGUAUGUGAAUACUCAGAACUCAAAUGAUGAUCUCAUGACUGGAAAUCUUCCAGGAUAUUGGAUCAGGUAGCUGAAAGAAAAAAGCAUACUUUUUAUAAGCCAUCUGGUAUAUUAUAUUGCAUUAUAUUGCAAUAUAUUGGAAAGUAUGGCUUGAACUUUCCUUUGAUCUGAAACUACUUUGGAAUUACUCUUUAUUAUUCAAACUUCCAUCAAUUGCCAUCCUCAGAGAAUUUGUUAACCCUAAAUUCUGAAUCUAAUUCUUUCUUAACACUUCAUAAGCUGAUGUUUCAAUUCUAUCAACAUUUUUUAAGUGGAACCAAUCGACUUGCAAAAUCUAUGGGAAAGUUCAGUCAUUUUCCUUCUGGUUCUCAAUGUAUAAAGGCCCUUCCAGUCAGGUUUGUGUCUCCACAAUCUCAUGAAUGCUCAUUUGGAUUUUUUUGAUGCACAUUUUUAGAUCCUUUUCUCCAACUGAAAAUGGUUUGAUUACUCCUUUCUUCUGUCCAAAUCAUAGCCAACUAUCAAGGAUGGGCUAGUUCCCAAGUCUUCCAUGGCUCUUCAACUAGUGGAGCCAACAGUUUUAAUGAUGGUCAUAUGUUGAGUUGACUGCAAUAUAAUACAUAUGUUUAUUUUGCAAGUUUUGUGUAUUCUUUAACUCUUCAGCAAGAUUACAAACUAGUGGAGAACAGAUGUUUCCUAUCUAUUCACACUAGUCUACCACACUGAUAGGUUUUUCGUCAGUCAGGUUAGAUCUGAAUUUAAUUUGCAGUGCUCAUUCUCUUUGAGAAUUAAUCCCAAUUCCUUAAGUUCUCUAUGUCUGCAUUUCCUCAUCUGCAAAAUGAA
Molecule: long non-coding RNA, 1897 nt
Filed under: Equus caballus (horse)
Lineage: Eukaryota; Metazoa; Chordata; Mammalia; Perissodactyla; Equidae
Description: lncRNA (ENSECAG00000060103.1)
Source: RNAcentral